CCUCUUUGCCUCGUGCCUCCCCGGGGGUGCGGGGCGAACCUGGCAGCGCGCCCGUGUUCCAGUUGAGCAGACUCUUGCUGGACUGGACCACGUGCGAUCGCUCGUGCUCUCGGAUGCAGAACGUGAAGUCGGCGUUGGGGCCUCCGCCCUUUCGACCGCCUUUUCGAGCUGCUUGUGCUCGAUAAGAUUGACUUCCUCGCCCGUCUCGGCCCCCGCUGCUGGAAUUUCCGGCGACGGGGAUCGGCGGGUCGUGUUGUCGCCAAGGAAUGCUACCUGGUUGAUCCUGCCAGUAGUCA
RNAcentral lists this unclassified non-coding RNA (296 nucleotides) under Salix arbutifolia. RNAcentral describes it as "partial external transcribed spacer". Lineage: Eukaryota; Viridiplantae; Streptophyta; Magnoliopsida; Malpighiales; Salicaceae. The record is from RNAcentral.